UACGUAGGGGGCAAGCGUUGUCCGGAAUCAUUGGGCGUAAAGAGCGUGUAGGCGGCCAGAUAAGUCCGCUGUGAAAUCUCGAGGCUCAACUUCGAGCUGUCGGUGGAAACUGUCUGGCUAGAGUCCGGAAGAGGAGAAUGGAAUUCCUGGUGUAGCGGUGAAAUGCGCAGAUAUCAGGAAGAACACCCGUGGCUAAGGCGGCUCUCUAGUACGGUACUGACGCUGAGACGCGAAAGCGUGGGGAGCGAACAGG
This 253-nucleotide ribosomal RNA is filed under the name uncultured bacterium. RNAcentral's name for it is "partial 16S ribosomal RNA". It matches the Rfam family "Bacterial small subunit ribosomal RNA", at positions 524 to 776 of the family's 1533-position model. The record is from RNAcentral.